UCAUCAUGCACAUUGGAGACACCAUAGAGAUUCUCAGCAAUGGUAAGUACAAGAGUAUUCUUCACAGGGGACUGGUCAACAAGGAGAAGGUGAGGAUUUCAUGGGCAGUUUUCUGCGAGCCGCCUAAGGAGAAGAUCAUCCUGAAGCCACUGCCAGAGACGGUGUCUGAGACUGAGCCACCACUCUUCCCACCUCGCACCUUUUCCCAACAUAUUCAGCACAAGCUCUUCAGGAAGACCCAGGAGGCUCUACUCUCCAAAUGAGCUGUAGCCUUGUUGUAUUUCAUCUGCUAUACUAAGCUCUCUAUUUGGCUGUUUUGUUACAGUUUGGUCUGUGUUUCAAGCUUCCCAAUCUUUGAUCAUGGCAGGUAUAGGCCAUCAUAUAUGUUUGUUUCUCUGCCUGCUUUUAUUUAAUAAAAUUCGAGAUUUCUAUUCUUCUUUUGUGCACAACCAAGUUUUGGAUUUGAAUUACCAAUGUCAUUAUGCAUUAAUUCUCAAGCUACUUGUAUUGAAAAAUAAAGCCAAUAUGGUAAUGGUAUGAGUGGUG
Molecule: long non-coding RNA, 546 nt
Filed under: Vitis vinifera (wine grape)
Lineage: Eukaryota; Viridiplantae; Streptophyta; Magnoliopsida; Vitales; Vitaceae
Description: long non-coding RNA (VVIN_LNC000390)
Source: RNAcentral